GAUGAACGCUGGCGGCGUGCUUAACACAUGCAAGUCGAACGGGAUCCAUCAGGCUUUGCUUGGUGGUGAGAGUGGCGAACGGGUGAGUAAUGCGUGACCGACCUGCCCCAUACACCGGAAUAGCUCCUGGAAACGGGUGGUAAUGCCGGAUGCUCCAGUUGAUCGCAUGGUCUUCUGGGAAAGCUUUCGCGGUAUGGGAUGGGGUCGCGUCCUAUCAGCUUGACGGCGGGGUAACGGCCCACCGUGGCUUCGACGGGUAGCCGGCCUGAGAGGGCGACCGGCCACAUUGGGACUGAGAUACGGCCCAGACUCCUACGGGAGGCAGCAGUGGGGAAUAUUGCACAAUGGGCGCAAGCCUGAUGCAGCGACGCCGCGUGAGGGAUGGAGGCCUUCGGGUUGUAAACCUCUUUUAUCGGGGAGCAAGCGUGAGUGAGUUUACC
Molecule: ribosomal RNA, 440 nt
Filed under: uncultured bacterium
Lineage: Bacteria
Description: bacterial SSU rRNA
Rfam family: Bacterial small subunit ribosomal RNA
Source: RNAcentral